GUGCGUACCUGCCUCCUCGUGGGGAAUACCGGCUGGAAACAGCCGACAAGACCGCGUACGCUCACUUAGGUGAGGAAAGCACUUCGGUGCGCGGGGAGAGGGGCGCGCGGCCCAUCAGGUGGUUGGCGGGGUAACGGCCCACCAAGCCGGUGACGGGUCGCUGGUCUGAGAGGAUGACCAGCCAGACUGGAACUGCGACACGGUCCAGACACCUACGGGUGGCAGCAGCAAGGAAUCUUCCGCAAUGGGCGCAAGCCCGACGGAGCAACGCCGCGUGGAGGACGACGGCCUUCGGGUUGUAAACUCCUUUU
This 311-nucleotide ribosomal RNA is filed under the name uncultured bacterium. RNAcentral's name for it is "bacterial SSU rRNA". It matches the Rfam family "Bacterial small subunit ribosomal RNA", at positions 117 to 437 of the family's 1533-position model. The record is from RNAcentral.